GAAUUUUUCUCAAUGGGGGAAACCCUGAAGGAGCGACGCCGCGUGGAGGAUGAAGGUCUUCGGAUUGUAAACUCCUGUCAUUGGUGAACAAAGCCCUCGGAGUCACUGCCGUUGGGUUUGAUAGUAGCCGAAGAGGAAGGGACGGCUAACUCUGUGCCAGCAGCCGCGGUAAUACAGAGGUCCCAAGCGUUGUUCGGAUUCAUUGGGCGUAAAGGGUGCGUAGGCGGCAGGGUAAGUCUGGUGUGAAAGCCCGGGGCUCAACCCCGGAACUGCACUGGAUACUGCUUUGCUAGAGUACUGGAGAGGGAACUGGAAUUUACGGUGUAGCAGUGAAAUGCGUAGAUAUCGUAAGGAAGACCAGUGGCGAAGGCGAGUUCCUGGACAGUUACUGACGCUGAGGCACGAAGGCCAGGGGAGCAAACGG
Molecule: ribosomal RNA, 424 nt
Filed under: uncultured bacterium
Lineage: Bacteria
Description: bacterial SSU rRNA
Rfam family: Bacterial small subunit ribosomal RNA
Source: RNAcentral